UUUCACUUGCGUUCUGGUUAGGAUGAGUAUAUAUAAAGGCUGAAGGUAAAGCGACCGGAUGUCACGCUCAGCUGUUUGUAUUUUUGUCAGUAUUGCAUUGCUGUCACACGAGAGGUAUGUACUGGAGGUCAUUAUGCUUGGUCCUAUUAUUUGGUUUUAAUCAUUCUAAUAGUUGUUUUCCGUUUAGUAUAAGCUCUUGUGUAGUUGGUAUCUGUACCGCAGCAUUCUCUAUUAGAGGAUCGCAAACUUUUAGUCUCUGGUGAUUUACGUGGCAUUCCUUGAAUCGGGAGAUUGCAGGCUCAGCUGUGCUGCAGUUCCGAUAGCUUGUUUCCACACAAAAGCUCUCUUAGGCUGGCAUUUGUUGCCGUGGUGUCCUCGGCAUCUGAGCAUUACGAACGAUUGGUUCAUUUUGUAUUAGGGAAUCGCGGUGUAAUUGAGGCGUGUGCUUUUGAUCUGCGGCUUCUGUCACAAGUGGUUGAUGGGGGCGACGGAUUCGGCCGCGGAGUAUAUGCUGUGACCCAUGCAGGCUGGUGUUUGAGUUACCCGGCAUCAUGGCUUAAGGUCCUAACACUGCUGUUUUGCUUUUUGUUUAUUUUGGAUUCUUUUGCGUAGUUUAUUUCGUUUAGGUUAGUAAUUGGUGUAUUAGUUUAUCUUUGUCCUUUUUUUUGUGUGAUAUUUAAUCUUUUCUUGGUUUCUUUUCGUUUGCUCAUUACAACUUAUUGUUUGUUUUGCUUAUUCAUUGCAAGUUAUUAUUUGUUUUCGUUUGUUUAUUCAGUGCAAUUUAUUAUUUUCGUUUGCUUAUUGCAAUUUAUUAUUUGUGUUCUUUUGUUUAUUUAUUACAAUUUAUUAUUUGUCUUUUGCUUACUCAUUGCAAGUUAUUAUUUGUUUUCGUUUGCUUAUUCAUUGCAAUUUAUUAUUUUUGGUUUGCUUAUUGCAAUUUACUAAUUGUUGUCUUUUGUUUAUCAUUACAAUUUAUUAUUUGUCUUUUGGUUAUUCAUUGCCAUUUAUUAUUUGUCGUCUUAUGCUUAAUUCUUUUGCUUUGGGUAAAUGUUGAGUGGUUUUCUUUGGAAGUGUUUGAUUAUUUUGUCUGUAACUUGGGGCCCUGAGGAAGGCAGACUAAGACUGAGCAGAAAUAGCCUCCCCUAAUGUGGUGUGAAUUUGCAGUGAAUCUGUUUAGGUGUUGCAGUGAUUUGGUGCACGUGUGUAUUAGUAUUAUUAUUACUUACAAGCUCUGUUUCUAGUCUGCCUCCUGGUUGUUAUACUCCAGUUUCAGGCUUGUUCAUUUUCUGUUUGAUUAGUCCUUAUUUCGUGUCAGUGGUGUGCCGUGAUUUUGAUGAGUGCCCUUUUUAGGCAAGAUCUUUUUAACAUUUCUAUCUGAAUAAAGCUUUAUGAAUCUUUUUAAUACCAAUUAUCCACGUCUCUGAGUCCUCUUUUAGGGAGAGUGAACCUGUGGGCCUUUUCGGGUCCUUCCUGGGGGGGGGAUAUAUCCCAGGUGGCGUAGUCGUUGCUUUGGUAACCAUUAGGAUAAUUGCGUAUGCAGGUUAUUUAGUUUUUUUCUCGCCCCUUUGGCGUAUGUAUCGCCACAUUUUUGGCGUAGAGUCGGCAGGGCUUUCUUAACUUUUGACCUGAGGCGUGGAUAAUUUAUUGUAUGAGUGUGUCCUUGUUGUGGGGUGUGUGUUCUCUUUUUUUUUCUCUUUUUUUUUUUUUUUCUAGAAGCAAAACAGCAGUGUUCAUUGGUGAGCUGGGAACAUCCUUUUGUCGGGUACAAUUCCCCUGUUGCAGAAACACAACUAAAUUAUUGGUAGGUCCUUUUUUUUCUCUCUCU
Paramisgurnus dabryanus is the source of this 1825-nucleotide long non-coding RNA. RefSeq lists it as uncharacterized. The record is from RefSeq and is a predicted model, not a curated record. NCBI's taxonomy places the organism in Eukaryota, Metazoa, Chordata, Actinopteri, Cypriniformes, Cobitidae.